This 829-nucleotide ribosomal RNA is filed under the name uncultured bacterium. Its description in RNAcentral is "bacterial SSU rRNA". It matches the Rfam family "Bacterial small subunit ribosomal RNA", at positions 77 to 904 of the family's 1533-position model. The record is from RNAcentral.
UCUUCGGAUGCUGACGAGUGGCGAACGGGUGAGUAAUACAUCGGAACGUNNNCAGUANNNNNNGAUAGCUCGGNNNAAGCCGGAUUAAUACCGCAUACGCCCUGAGGGGGAAAGUGGGGGACCGCAAGGCCUCACGUUAUUGGAGCGGCCGAUGGCUGAUUAGCUAGUUGGUAGGGUAAAGGCCUACCAAGGCGACGAUCAGUAGCUGGUCUGAGAGGACGAUCAGCCACACUGGGACUGAGACACGGCCCAGACUCCUACGGGAGGCAGCAGUGGGGAAUUUUGGACAAUGGGGGAAACCCUGAUCCAGCAAUGCCGCGUGUGCGAAGAAGGCCUUCGGGUUGUAAAGCACUUUUGUCAGGGAAGAAAUCCUUUGGGCUAAUACCCUAGGGGGAUGACGGUACCUGAAGAAUAAGCACCGGCUAACUACGUGCCAGCAGCCGCGGUAAUACGUAGGGUGCAAGCGUUAAUCGGAAUUACUGGGCGUAAAGCGUGCGCAGGCGGUUGUGUAAGACGGGUGUGAAAUCCCCGGGCUUAACCUGGGAAUUGCAUUUGUGACUGCACGACUAGAGUGUGUCAGAGGGGGGUGGUAUUCCACGUGUAGCAGUGAAAUGCGUAGAUAUGUGGAGGAACACCAAUGGCGAAGGCAGCCCCCUGGGAUAACACUGACGCUCAUGCACGAAAGCGUNNGGAGCAAACAGGAUUAGAUACCCUGGUAGUCCACGCCCUAAACGAUGUCAACUAGUUGUUGGGGAUUUACUUCCUUGGUAACGUAGCUAACGCGUGAAGUUGACCGCCUGGGGAGUACGGCCGCAAGGUUAAAACUCAA